This is a long non-coding RNA of Physella acuta, 956 nucleotides long. RefSeq lists it as uncharacterized. Lineage: Eukaryota; Metazoa; Mollusca; Gastropoda; Physidae. The record is from RefSeq and is a predicted model, not a curated record.
AAUGAGACUCAUUUCCUGCUGUAUGUUUGUUGACAUACGAAACCGUCUACAUUCAGGUUUUGUGUGUGCUCGGAAGUGACGUAAUCAACAUAUGAUCAAAACGUACAGCAUAUGUUUGAUUAAACCGUAUGCACUAAUACCGCUGAUUUGACUACCGAAACAUUUGCUAAGACGUAGACAAAAGGAUGAAGGACGUAAUUCGUGGUGUCAAUCAGGUCUCCGACCAGCCCUCCAUCUUCUUCUCUAUGGUGGUCAUGGGAUACUUCAUGAUCUGGGUCGCUGGCUUCCAGGUUGACAAGACCUUGCAGUUUUAUCGGGAUCGAGAACGAGAGGCCGGCCAGCCAAUCAGAAUCCCGACCUGGUGAAGUGUAAUCGGGUUCUGUGUGCUGACGCUGAUCUACCUGUGGGUCGACUUGAUCAUCAUCCGGGUCCUCGUCGGCUGGAUCAAGCAGUUCCUGAAAAAAUGGGAGAAAGAGCGACAACGCGCCAAAGCGGCUAUGCUGAAACAAGCGGCUCUCCUAAACUUGGACGACGGACCAGACGAAGAGGCGAUCCUUAUUAGGAAGAAUCCACCGAGGACCUGCCGACCUUACUAGGGCGCGACCUUGACCUAGAUCAGGCCUUGACCUCACCAUAACGUGUUAGAAAGUGCCAGAUAAUUUUGAAAUGGGUGAUGUGGGGUGGUGUGUAUGACGUUGUUGUGGGUAGCAUGUGUAAUCAUAUAGGGCAUUUGUGUGUGAGUUGUAUUAUGUUUUGAUUGUAUGUGAAGUAUGACGGUUAUCUGUCUCAAUGGAAUUAGGUUUAUAUCAAAGAUGGAGCCUGGGAUUUGGUGUGCUUUGGGUUUGUCGAAGGGGGGGGGGGGCACCAGGAUAAUAAUACUUUGGCUUUUUGUGAAGAUAUUCCUGUUCAGUGUGCUUUGUUUUAUCAAUUGGAUUAUGGGGAUAGGGGGUGGAGGU